RNAcentral lists this ribosomal RNA (253 nucleotides) under uncultured bacterium. RNAcentral describes it as "partial 16S ribosomal RNA". It matches the Rfam family "Bacterial small subunit ribosomal RNA", at positions 524 to 776 of the family's 1533-position model. The record is from RNAcentral.
UACAGAGGGUGCGAGCGUUAAUCGGAAUUACUGGGCGUAAAGGGCGCGUAGGCGGUUAGAUAAGUUGGAUGUGAAAGCCCUGGGCUUAACCUAGGAACUGCAUACAAAACUGUUUAGCUAGAGUGCUGUAGAGGGUAGUGGAAUUUCCGGUGUAGCGGUGAAAUGCGUAGAUAUCGGAAGGAACACCAGUGGCGAAGGCGGCUACCUGGACAGACACUGACGCUGAGGCGCGAAAGCGUGGGGAGCAAACAGG